GUGCUGUUCUGUGUAAGUGUACCGCAACUGCAGGGUGCUCGCCUCCACUGCCAACUGAUGAUACACUAAAGAAAGCCCGUUUUUUAUCCAGAUGUAAAAUGAAGCUGCACCCCUCCUAUACCUGCCGGAAACUACAUCUCUCUGCACACACCCUGGGGUAAUACGCACUGCACCCAGCGAGUUACCUGGAAUACGUUUACUAAAUCGACAGGAAGAAGGAAAGAUCAAUGCGAUUCAAGUGCUGACGGUUGUACUUGUGAAGGAAAAAAACAAAUGCAAGCCGGGAAGUCCCCAGUGGUGCCUGCACCUAGGAGGCGACUGCAACGGAUGGAUGCGGGGGUGGAUAAUCAGCAACCCCCCAAGACUGUGCCUGCUGCACAACUACAGAACACAGUGGAAGACACGCUGAACUUUGAGCCAGAAGGUUGACUUUCUAGCUAUGGGGACUUGGCCAAACCUCCUCAGAGCUUCAGUUUUCUCAUCUGUAAAAUAGGGAUCUUAAUCCCUACCAAUCUCACAGGACUGCUGAGAGUAUCAGAUGAGGUAAGUAUAUGAAAUAGAUGUGCAAAUCUGUGUGAAGGCCUCCAGAGAGAAAUAGUGCAUGCAGGUGGCAUUAGAGACAUAGAUUCUAGUCCAGGCUUUGCAACCAAAUUAUUAUGUAAUCUUUUGUCUUGAUCAUCUUGCCUCUCUGGACAUUGAUUUCUUCAUCAGUUAAAUGAAAAGACACCUUUCAGCCCUGACCACUCCCAAACCUUCAGGACCCCCACUGGGUCGAGAUAGGAGCAGCCACAGGCAAGGUCACCCAGGACAGGAGUUAGAGCUGAAUUGUGCAAUAUGAGUGAGGUGUUCCUCUCAGCUUCAAAACCAGCUCUGGGUUGUAAACAAGCUACCACUUCCUCUGUCCCUCUGAAGUAACAUCAAAUUUGGGGUGCAGGAUGGAAGACAGUACCAUAUUCCCCUCUGUCCCAGCUUGCAUGGCCUUGCUCAGAUGCUGCCCAGCAUCAUGACGAAAAUCAACAUGCAUGGAAAUGUAAUGAUAGACUCACAGCUGUGUAUAAAACAGUCUUAAGCCUGUUGUCAGACUUUAAACUGCCCUCCUCUGUCCUUCUGCCCAUCCUAGGCCACUGGAGAUGGAGGUAAAGGACAAACACACAGAUGUCACAGUGUCCCACAUUUUUAUCCAGGUGGAGUCAUGUUUAAAAUAGCAGCAAGGACAGCCACGAAGAGGAAAAAACUCCCCAAAGCCUAAUUUGACUUCUUUCUGUUCUUUCUCUUCCUGCGGGCUUCUCACAUGCUCACCUCCUGGCUGGCCAACUUCCAUUCAUCCUUCAGGUUUCAGAGCAGCCUCCUUAGGCACCUAGGCUAGGUUGCAGCCCUCACUCUAAGGCUCUAGUCCCCUGUAGCCUUUGAUACUUCCUCUCUGGUCACUUGCUUAAUCUCCAUCUUCCUCUUAAUCUACGAGCAGCAGAAUGACAAAACCAGUCUAUCUCAUUCAAGUAUAGAUGCCCAGUGCCCAGCAUACACUUGGCACAUGGUGGCACUCAAUGAUAUUUAUAGGAUGCAUGCAUUUAAAUGAAGGUGAGAGGUGACACCACCUUUGUCCUGGUGGCAAUGGUUGGUUAAGGGGCCAAGGUAGUUGAAUCUCAGAUCUUUUCUUAUCACCAUCUGCUUCCCACCUCGUUUUCUCCCCCAAAGCAGGCCUCUCUGAGUCACGCAACCAGACCAGAGUCAUGAAAGCAGAAAAGGGACUUCCCUGCCCUUAGGAUAGUAAACAUUGUUCCCUCUUCCAUGUUACUUUGGCCAAAUAACUACCAUUUACCUCACCAGCUCAGGCAAAAUAGAAGUACCCGCCUGCCCCCAAAGAAAUAACUCCUUCUCCUGCUGUUGCCAAAAUCUACUUCAGUUAGGAAAGCAUCCAAGAUAAUUGAUGAGGUUUAAAAUACAAAUGCACUCAGAGCAUAGAAUAAGUAACUUAUAUUCUCACUCUUGAUUAAAUUAAAUCCAAAGAGGAGCUUCUGGAAAUAGCAGUAACUUAUUUUGCAUAGCAGUGAUUUACAUUUGCAUAACAUUAUAACAGCAUUAUCUAUCUCAUUCCAUCGCACAGCAACCCUUUGAAGUGGGCCAAAGCGAGAAUUAUUGUCACCCCCAUUUUACAGACCUUAAGCAUUGAAAUUCAGAAAGGAAGACUAUUUGCUUUGCCUAAAGUUAAACAGGCUUGCUAACUUACUGUUAGUAAGGGAUAAAUUUGAACCCAGCCUCCCUUUUUCUGCCACAUCUGAUACCUCCCUUAGGAAGAGAAGAGCUGGUAUUUCAAGUCCUGGAUAUAGUGGAACAGUGGGAACCAGGGCAGAAAGAAGGAAAGGGAGUGGCUCUAGGCCUCACCUCCUUCACAACUCAGCCCUGCCUUAAUCAGCGCUGUCUCCCUUCCCAGGUACCUAGCCUAGGUGAGAUGCUACAUCUGCUUGACCCUCACGCCCUGACUGGGACAAGUUAGCAGUAAUGUUACAGUUACAAAGCUCACAAGUCCAGUCCUGUUUUCUAUACUUUUCUAGGAGAUGAAUUUAGUGAGGGAUUUGGUUUCCAAUGUGUUUCAAAACCUGUGAGAGAGCGUGAGUUUUAGAAGGUCCCUCGGACAGGCACAGUGACUUAUGCCCUUAAUCCCAGCACUUACGGAGGCCAAGGCGGGAGGAUCAUUUGAACCCAGGAGUUCAAGACCAGCCUGGGCAAUGUGUCAAAACCCCACCUCUACAAAAAAUACAAACAUGAGCCAGGCAUGGUAGCACAUGCCUGUAGUCCCAGCUACUUAGGAAGCUGAGUGGGGAGGAUCGCUUGAGCCCAGGAGGUCAGGGCUGCAGUGAGCUGAGAUCGCACCACUGCACUCCAGCCUGGGUGACAGAGAGGGACCCUGUCUC
This 2912-nucleotide non-coding RNA is filed under the name Pongo abelii (Sumatran orangutan). Lineage: Eukaryota; Metazoa; Chordata; Mammalia; Primates; Hominidae. The record is from RNAcentral.